RNAcentral lists this ribosomal RNA (1325 nucleotides) under Triticum aestivum (bread wheat). RNAcentral describes it as "partial small subunit ribosomal RNA". The record is from RNAcentral. Lineage: Eukaryota; Viridiplantae; Streptophyta; Magnoliopsida; Poales; Poaceae.
UACAAACACGGUACCUAACUACUGUACCGUAGGUAGGUAGGUGGGUAGGUAGGGUAAAUAGAUUUUUUUUUUCUCUUUCUUUCUUUUUAUUGGGGGGUGGGGGGCCCGUUGGGUUGGUGGGUUUGGGAUAGGGGAAGUAGCAGCGGCGGGGGUCUAGGUUAGAACGGCGAGGGUGAGGUAGCAGGGGUGGGAGGAGUAGGAGAGCGGCGGCCGGAGUGAGUGGGGGGAGUAGGAGAGGGCGUACGAGUUCGGCGAGCGGCGGUGGUACAGGCGGCGGCGCCGGCGCGAGUCCCGCGUCGCCGGAGGAGGGGCGAGCGACGGGGGGAGCGGAGGAGGUUCCGGCGGAGGAGUAAGAUGAGGCUGCUGCUACCGCCCUAUCAGAUCGCACCGGGCCGCGCCCGGAGCAGGCAGGGCUGGGGGACAGCCGCUCGAGCGGAGGAGGAGGUAGGAGAUGGAGAGCUCCGGUGAGGCCUGCCGGUACCUCGUCUCCCGGCGCCCGCCGCAAGAGGCUGCCAGAGAGUCCGAGCCCGACGGCUCUUGGCACUCCCGGGACUCGUGGUCGCGGUGAUGCGGCCGGCGCCGCCGCCUCCCUCUCCGCCGCCGGUUACGCUCUUCCUUGUUCUUCUUCUUGGAUAAGCUGCACCGCGUCAAGGAUGGCCUGACCCCGCAGCCGAUGUCCGGCGGUUCUGGUGGACCGCGCUGCAGAGGUUGGUCUAGUGGUUCUAGUUGGAGAUGUUCCUACCGGCGGUGCCCUUCCGCACCCCCUAAGCCGUGUUCCUGCCGCACGUUCGUCGGCCGUAAGGCUAUUCUUAGUCAUCCCAAUUGUUUGCACCAACCUUCAUGUAUUUCCGCGGCAACCUUCUAUAGGGACCUCGUCUCGGCGGUAGGCAGUGGCGACGAAUCAGUCAAUGGGUCGAUCUAUAAAUCGUCCGACGUUUUGACCAGGGACGCCUUCGAAUCACGGCUUUGAUAAGUCUUCGUAGUUCCCCUAGAAGCUGGCGAUGGUCGUCCGGUAGCCCUGGUCGGACACCUGGCUCGUCAUACUCCACUUCACGCUUAGGUUCAAGCUUCGACACUUCGUAUAGUUGUUUCUGAUCGUAUAAUACACAACAUUUACAUCCGUCAUCAUCCGAAUAGAUCCGACAUCAUAUGACAUUGCAAACAUUAUCUGAUCACGGCACAACAAAACCUGCUUAAAGUAAACGGUAAACCUAACAAACUUUAUUACUAACACAUACACUAAACUUAUGGGCAGUUUACCUUUGGACUGAUCCCCCAGGUUCAAGAUUACCAACAAACUAUCUAAAACUUUAAAAACUACACAC